UACGUAGGUGGCUAGCGUUACUCGGAAUUACUAGGUGUAAAGGGCAGGUAGGUGGUUUGGUAAGUUGAAGGUGAAAGCCCCGAUAAAAUCGGGGAGGUCCUUCAAUACUGCUGAACUUGAGUACGGUAGGGGGAACCAGAAUUCCUGGUGUAGCGGUGAAAUGCGUAGAUAUCAGGAGGAAUACCGAUGGCGAAAGCGGGUUCCUGGGCCGUCACUGACACUGAGCUGCGAAAGCGUGGGGAGCA
This 245-nucleotide ribosomal RNA is filed under the name uncultured bacterium. Its description in RNAcentral is "partial 16S ribosomal RNA". It matches the Rfam family "Bacterial small subunit ribosomal RNA", at positions 524 to 770 of the family's 1533-position model. The record is from RNAcentral.